RNAcentral lists this transfer RNA (91 nucleotides) under SAR202 cluster bacterium Io17-Chloro-G4. Its description in RNAcentral is "tRNA-Ser". It matches the Rfam family "tRNA". Rfam says of the family: Transfer RNA (tRNA) molecules are approximately 80 nucleotides in length. Their secondary structure includes four short double-helical elements and three loops (D, anti-codon, and T loops). Further hydrogen bonds mediate the characteristic L-shaped molecular structure. tRNAs have two regions of fundamental functional importance: the anti-codon, which is responsible for specific mRNA codon recognition, and the 3' end, to which the tRNAs corresponding amino acid is attached (by aminoacyl-tRNA synthetases). tRNAs cope with the degeneracy of the genetic code in two manners: having more than one tRNA (with a specific anti-codon) for a particular amino acid; and 'wobble' base-pairing, i.e. permitting non-standard base-pairing at the 3rd anti-codon position. The record is from RNAcentral. Lineage: Bacteria; Bacillati; Chloroflexota; Dehalococcoidia.
GGAGAGGUGCCGGAGUGGACGAACGGGCGCGACUGGAAAUCGCGUAGGGGCCACCAGCUUCUCGCGGGUUCGAAUCCCGCCCUCUCCGCCG